This is a long non-coding RNA of Cygnus olor (mute swan), 7543 nucleotides long. RefSeq lists it as uncharacterized. The record is from RefSeq and is a predicted model, not a curated record. NCBI's taxonomy places the organism in Eukaryota, Metazoa, Chordata, Aves, Anseriformes, Anatidae. The transcript is spliced from 2 exons.
CCUCCCACAUUUCUGAACUUUUCCCUUCCCAUUAUAGCUCAUUUUCCUCUUCAACUCUUUGGUACAAGAGCAUUAAGAAGCAGUUACUCAGAAGAAUGCAGAAGUAAGCCAAAGUCCUAUUUUAUUUUUUAAAAUAUGAAUGUGCUCCCAGGAAUUUCAUUUGCUCUCUUCUUCCCCCUUCAGAUCUCCUGUUUUUUUCAUUUCGUUCCAUUUCACCGACUUCCAGCCAGUGCAACCCCUGUUCCCCACACUAGCUGCACCCCCCAAUUUCUGCCUUUUGAUCUUCCUAGUUUCAAAGAAAAUUAAUCUACCAGAUCUGCAUCAGUACGGUCUUCUUCCCUCCACUGAUAAUGGAGAAAAUGCAGACCUGUAUUUGUCUUUUCUAAAGACAAAUGUUGUUUUGCAUUGCCCAUGGGAGGGGCUCUGUGGGAUGCAACAGGAUGUAGAGGGCAGAGCAAGCCUCUUCCAGGAGGGAUUUGGGCAAGUCCAGCCACCAGAGGAACACGAAGAAUGUUCUUAGAAAAAAAUACGGUUUGUAUUAAUCCAUACUUGGAAAGGGAAAGGAACCGAAAGCCUUUCCUCAUUUGUAAAGUAUGUGAGACGUCACUCCCGACAAGCAGAUCAAGCGCUUUGGAAAGCAGCACACAGAUGCUCUUUUCCCUCUCCUUGAGCACAGGUUCGCCUUCAAUCCAACCGCACGGCUCAGGACAGAGGGCUCCAUUUUAACUGCAACCCAUCAAGCCCCUGAGAAGCCCUCUCCUUGCCUCCCAUGAGCAAUCCCUGCAGCCAGAGAGACACAGGGCGCUCAUCAGCAUUCCUCCCACCCCCUCGCAGCCCACAUUUGUGCUUCCACAAGCGUCCUAAGGAGCGUCUUCCAGGAGGCUCAGCCUGGCUGAAGGCGCUGUGCAGCGUGACCAAGAGAACACGGAAACACGAUUCAUUAGCCAUGCCUGGAGAGAUAACAAUGGGACCGCUUCUUGCUGCCUUUCAUCGCUCACAUCUCAAUGGAGCGAAUGCAUUCCUGCUGCACAACAAGCGCACUUAUAGACAGGGAAAAACACGAUCAUCUUUAAGACAGCCUUCUUUUUUUGUUGGUUUUCAGCCUUACAAUAUGCCUGCAGGCUACCACUGUUUUUAAUUGAUACAUUAAGAUUAUAAAUGGAAUAUACACACAAGAUCUCCAAGCCAUCCAGAGAGAUUCACAGGUGUGAUGCUGCCAGGUCCCUCCGUGGCCUCUUGUACCUUCCUCCCACCCAGUCAGCCUGGGCUUCGGGGAACAACCAGAUAUAAUAUUCCAUCUCAGUUGUACACUUGUGUUUGUAACUGAGGAAAUAUUUGCAUUUCCAUUCUCCAAAAUCUGAGUUUAUUUUUUUUGCAUAAAAAUUAAAAUUGCUCUCAUUUACUUCUCAUUCACAUGUCCUUCUGGUACUGUCAUCCUGCUCUACCUGAACUACUUACAGCUUCUGCAUUACCAUUUCCUUCUUUACCUUCAUGCUUUUUAAUCUAAUCAUUAUAGAAGUUACAAUUUUCAUCAAAGAGUCUUCUUUAACUUAUUUGUAACAUAUUACAAGAAGAUUGCAUUUUGACUUGAGGAAUUCUGGAAAAUAUUUUGGAGCAGCUGCCCAUUUUAAACACCCAUCAUGUCACACAGACACAGAACUAAUGGUUACAGGAGUGGACUACAGCACCAAGCUCGGGAUAUGCAGAACAUCAAAGCCAAGUCCUCCUCUCAGUACUUUUUGAAACCUAGAAAAAGCAUUGCUCAAGCACAUUUGCUUCUUGUUUAUACACCACUCGAAAAUAAUGUUUCCUGCCUAGCUACUGGAAUUCAUUAUAACAGGGUACACAGGAGUGAAGUACAAAAUUGACUUUGCAAUUUGUUUAUAUAGGAACUUGCUGAAGGAGAAGUUGAAGCAAUUUCAACAACAACAACAAAAAAACAACCACACACAAGCACAAUAACAACUCCAAAAACACUGCCUACCAGCCCCAAAUAUGCAAGUAGAGAGUAAAUGCAAACAAUAAGAACAAAUUUAAUACUGCUGGUUCUGCUUUGUUUGCUUUUUGGUUGGUUGGUUGGUUGUUGUUGUUUUUUGUUGUGUUUUUUUUUUUUUUUUAAGAAAUUAAGCUAAGCAGUAAGUUUCAGCUAUAACACUGAUGUAUACUUGAGAAGCAGAGGGUCUUGAUUCAGCAGUAGCCUAACAACAUCGCAAAAAUGUUUAUGGUCAGACUUGGUACUUACAUACAAAGUACUGUAUCAGAAUAAACAGUCAGUUUCCAGAGUCCCAGUUUUGCUACUAUUUUUUGGGAAAAAAAUCAGAGUAUGCAUCUUCAGCUCAGGUAUUAAAAACAGGAAAAGUGGUUCAAAUAAAACUUCUUUUCAAAAAUGUGACAAACAGUUUCUCUCAUACACGCAUCUUUUUCAGAGAACAACAGACUUUCAAAACCAGAGCCGCAGAACAAAAGGCUAAAAAAAAAACUUCAGAAACAACACAACCAGAUUUGUCAUUUUGUUUAUUCUGUACUGGAUUUUAGUGCUCCCCAAGAAGCAUGCCAAAAUAUUUUGUGCUCUUCUGCGAGCACAAGUUUACUGUAGUUUGCCACUAUUUCAACUGAGCUAGGGUGAAAUGACAGCUUUUUUUUUUUUUCUUCAAUAGCAUCAUAUAUCGAGUCCUCCCAGGGAAGGGCUCUGCUCCUGGGGCAGCCGAGUGUCAGGUUUGUUAAUACACUUCUGGCAUCUCCUGAUAAAGAGCCAGCAGAGGGAGCUACGCGUAGCCGGUUCUUCAACUCCAGCAGGAUCUGGUUUUCAGAUUGAAAAAAAGGGGGAUGCAAGAUCACAGAUGCUAAAAAUUAUCUUCUGACAGAAAUGACCACAUUCAAUAACAAAUAUAUAAAAAGUACACCAAUUUUGAGUAGGAAAAAUUUAAUCACUUUUUUUUUUUUUAAGUGAAACGUUCCAUACAAAACAGCUUUCAAGGCAGAGUAACCUUCCUGAAAAAAAAAGACAAGACCUAGUCCCAGGUGUUCGGUGCCAAAUCGUUUAAUGGCCCCUUGAGAAAGGCUAAUAAGUUUAGUCAAAAUCCAAAGAUACCUGAAAAUAUUCAAAUAUCUAUUAAGCCUGAUGGAAUUAAGGGCCAUGCGGAGUGUGAAAGACCACAGUUCACAAACACGGUCUUUCCUGGAAAGUUUCAGGAUUUCUGAGUUUGAGUUCUCAGUUAACCAGAACAACGCAAUGAUAGGAGACCAACUCCGAGGCGGUGUGUUUCUGUUUUGUGUUUUUUAAGUAACACUGAGCCUCACUAAAGAGACCGGUUUUUACCAUCGUAAUGUUGGCAGCACCUCUCAACACAGAAAGCUUCAGCUAUAAAACCUAACCGCUGCAGAUGUGCCCAGACUCAUCGAGAUGGGAAGCACAACACACGGCUGUUUGUACGGCCGGCCUGACGAAAAGGAGGGACAAACACUCCAAGCCACAGUUACCAAUAAGCUCCCUAGUGAAAAACAAGGCCCCUCCCUCCCCACCCCGCCAAGUGCUUUUUUCAAGCUGGGAAAACUACAGAUGCUCCUUCUGCUGGAGACAGAAAAACAAACUGGGAGCCCACACAUGAUUUUCCUUAAAUGGAAGGUAUUACAGGAAAAAAGAUAAUAAGGAUGACAGAACUUAGCUCCCAUAGGGGGCAUAGCAUUGCAGACAGAAAAAUAAUUACUGAAGACUCGAAAGCUGUUCUGGAAAUAUGCAAAUCCUUGGAAACAUGCACAAAUAUCAAGAUUUUACAUGCUACAUGAGACCAUUAGAUCCUUGUCAUAAUCAGCAAGACUGAAUGGACAACUUACUUAGUAAUUUUUUAAAGCCAGUCCUGUUCUGUAGAGACCUCCCCAACCCCUACAGGAGUUGGUGCAGGCAGAAGGUGGGACAGGAGGAGGCUCCCCAGUGAACACAGGGUCUGGCAGAACUAGAACCUCCUUCCCAGCGAGGGAGGACAGAGGACUUUCUAUUCAACCUAAAGCGAUGCAACUUCAGACUCCCUUUUGUACUUGGGACUACUUUUAAAAAUCGGUUUAAUAGCAUUUGAGACAACCCAUCCUCAAAACAAUCCCUUUCCCAGGCGUUUCCUGCGCUCACUGCUGGAGUUAUUUCACACGCCCGUGUUUCAACAGGAGCUAUCUCCUCACGGCUGGUUCUGCAAUGCAAAUGUAGUAUGUUGUUCGCUUUACAGUCUGUUGCCAUGGAUGUUAAUGUGAUGUCAUAAAUUGUUAUAUCUUCAUUGCAGAAACAAAAUGAAGGGGCUUGCAAGCAGCAGAAAAACAAGAACUCAUCUAAGGAACCAUGUUUAAGAAGCAACUCUUGUGCAAGUCAAAAAAGGCACAGAUUUAUACUUCAGUUCAGAACUGUUGCAUGUUUCUUUCACUGCAUAAGAAUGAUUUAAAGAUUACAAAUUACCUAUUUAAUUUUACCUACACAGAAUGGACUCCCCAGCACCAAAUACAUCAAUAUUUCUGCAGUUUAUCUGUUCACCACGUCUGAGAGUAUCUUAGUUGGGUCUGAACUCUCACCUCGUGUACUGGACAGUGGCUCCAUGCCCCAGUGAUGCUUGUGUGACCUCUUUCCUCUUUUUUUCCUGUAUUUUAAGCUACUUUUUGGCCCAUUCAUUACAUCUAUUGCAUAAAAUUGGCCACGUCAGAAGCAAGGAAACUGCAAGGACUUCACUUCUGAAAAAUCAGGGUUGCUGAUUGCCCUGAAAAAUAAUUAUCAUACACACAUUCCCGCAUUUUUGUUCUUCAAGGACUCCAGGAAUAAACAAAGAUAAAAUUUGUCUUUGUUUUAUUAAAACAGUAGUUAAGAUUAGGAGAAGUUCAUCUACUUUAUCUGCACACAUACACAAAUAGAGAAGGAAAGAACAACUUAGCUCAGAGAAAGGUAUAAUACAGAACAAAGCACACCCACUGUUCAUAGUCCAUUUACAUCUUUUAGGAUGAAGAGAGUAUCCAGGAUUUCUCUCAUUUUCAAUUAGUCAAGCCCUUGUUUAAUCUUUUUCCCAAACAGUUUAGCUUUUCUCGAAGUGGAUUUAAUGAAGUCAAAAGACACACAGCAACUGGGGGAUGAAUGGGCAUUUCUGCCUGCUCAGAGCUGCCAACCUGCCAAGCAAUAUACUACAUGGGAUUCAGGUCCUUCACACGAAGCAGGAAUCAUCGGACACCCAUUUAGUGCCCCCUCAGCCACCGACACAUCCAAGCCUAAGUUCAAUGACAAGCAACUCAUCUGCUUACAGUGAAAGGGUCACCUACACACUGUUCCUGCUCCUGUUUCUAAUUCAGAAGCUUAAAAGGGCAAACCAGCCGCAGGCUGCCAUCACCCCAGUAGAUGCAGUCAUUUUCCAUAUAUUGGAAACAGAGGGCAGAAGCUAAAUGUCAUAUGCAAGAAUCUAAUUGGGGAAAAGCGGGCAGGCCUUGGGGUCUUGUCUUCCACCUGCCAGACUUCACACACAAGCAGAGGGUUAGUUUAAGACCAAAGGCAAGCCAAAAGUCACAGACAACUUUGCCACACUCCCAGAUUUGUUUCUGAAGUGCAACCCGAAGGAAACGAGGAGGGUUACCAUCCCUCACGUCGCUGAACCUUCUUUUCUUCAUACUGGGAUUGUAUUACCCAUUCCCAUUUAGUGAAAUUAAGGUUGCAGAUCCACAUUAACUGCUCACUUUCAGAACACUUUUGGGUCGGUAUGGCUGAGUUAGAUUCCUAGGCCCUGCACACAGUUACUUGAGAAAUGCUGCAUCUCUGCUGCGGGACUGACCGCCAGCCGAAACUCGGCCGUGUUGACAAGCUCCAAGCAGGUAAACAACAGCUACUGUAACAAGGAAUAAUAUUAAGAAUUGACCCUCCCUCAAGGAUAAGGCUAUCCCUCCUGAAAUCCCAAGUCCAGUGUCAAGGAGCAAAAAAAAGCAGGCAGGUCUAUAAGACCACCUCCAAACCCCAAGAACAUGCAGUGUAGUGCCAUGCAGAAACACCAAACAAAUGGCACCAAGAACUGCACAGCCACUUGAGGAACACCUGCAGGACGCAACCCGAGGUGGAGGUCCCAAUGCUGGCAGACAUGCCCCGGUCACAGUGCUCAGGCUCUGCCAGCCGGCCCCUGGAACAAACCCAGCCAAAGCCACACAAGGACCCGCGGUGCGGCCACAGCUGUGCAGCUCCUCGCCUCCAAGUGCUUCUGUGCAUCUGGCUCAGCACUCCAGCGCAUAAGGACACAAAAAUGCUGCUUUUCCAAAACCGUUAUUAAAAAAUGAGGCCUUAUUUUAUUAAAAAAUGUACCCCUGUUUAAAAACACAGCUUUAAGGAGAUUGUAAUUCAGCCCACUUCAUUUUUCCUUAAUAUUUCAGUAAAUAACAGCCAUCUAUUAAUGCAUCCUGAAAGAAAGACCUUAGCUGUCAAGCAGAAGGACCUACGCAUGGACCUCUUUGCAAAGACUUAAUUGAAAUUAGAGCUGACACUGUGAUCCCAGCAAUCUUCGCAUGCCCUAAGCCGAAACUCUGUUCUGGCUGACCAUGCAGCCCACGUCGCCGUGCAUUAGCUUCAGAUACCGCUCGCGCAGCAGUGAAGUGUUUCGUCCUUUUGUGCUUGCCUUAGGCCACAGCCUCCUUUCACGUACAUCAAACCAUCUCCACUGGACACUCCAGAAAUUUAACAAGCAAUCCAGGAUGCUGACUGACUAAGCUGGGGAAUCUGUGAGAUCAUUAACAAAUGCAAGAGAAAAACGAAGUAAAAAUCCGUUGCCAGGAUGUCUUAACCUACAAGUAAAUGCUGUAAAGGACAUUUUGCCUUUCUGUCAAAAAUUUUUGUGACAAAAAUACACAUGCAUUCACCUAUAUACCCAAUAGACUGCCUGCAAGAACUGUGUGUUCUUUGUGUAGUCAAAAAUCAGCUGGUUUUAUACAUAUGAUAAAUUACUCCCUGAAAUCCUCACCUGCAAAGGAUGGAAGCAAAAAAGCCGUACCUUGCUGACUUGGUCAUGCUAUAGAAGCAAAAGGCAACUCCUAAAUUGAUACACAAACACUCCCAUCAUUGCUAAACACCAGUCACAGAGCUCACGUUUAAGCUGUAAAUUAACAAUAAGUCCCCAUCUGAAAUACCACAUCAAGCUGGCAGUCCUGCUCAGCUUGAUCUUUCUUGGCCAAAGCACUCCACUAGCUUGUAAUACUUAAACCUAAUCUGACAGCAAAUGAGGCUUCCAGCAGAAAAUUACUGAAAGGCUGGAUUUUGCUUAUUUUUUUCCCCAAGGAGAAAAUAAAGGGACCAGAAAUGUAUCUUGUUGAAUAUUUACUGUAGUACAUAUUCCCUAUUCUGGUCAAAAGGAAUUAUCAAACAAUCAAAAGAUCAGUGAUAAACAUUACUGACAAUCAUAUUUGUUUUCUUUUACGCUUUCCUCCUUGGUUAUUUGAUAUCCAUAUAACCUAUAAAAUGCCUUCACCUUAAAGCAGAAAACUUUACAAUUACUCUAGAUAUUAGUCUGCUGGCUUAAAAAUCCAGAUAUAAUAAACUUAAGUUUCU